This 76-nucleotide transfer RNA is filed under the name Shewanella putrefaciens. RNAcentral describes it as "tRNA-Cys". It matches the Rfam family "tRNA". From Rfam's summary of the family: Transfer RNA (tRNA) molecules are approximately 80 nucleotides in length. Their secondary structure includes four short double-helical elements and three loops (D, anti-codon, and T loops). Further hydrogen bonds mediate the characteristic L-shaped molecular structure. tRNAs have two regions of fundamental functional importance: the anti-codon, which is responsible for specific mRNA codon recognition, and the 3' end, to which the tRNAs corresponding amino acid is attached (by aminoacyl-tRNA synthetases). tRNAs cope with the degeneracy of the genetic code in two manners: having more than one tRNA (with a specific anti-codon) for a particular amino acid; and 'wobble' base-pairing, i.e. permitting non-standard base-pairing at the 3rd anti-codon position. Lineage: Bacteria; Pseudomonadati; Pseudomonadota; Gammaproteobacteria; Alteromonadales; Shewanellaceae. The record is from RNAcentral.
GGUCGCUUAGCUCAGCUGGGAGAGCACCCCCCUUACAAGGAGGGGGUCACUGGUUCGAACCCAGUAGCGACCACCA